AUGGAGGUAGAAGUGAGGCUGGGCCCUUCAACACACCCGAAAAUCCCUGAGCUCACCGGCAUGAAAAAAAAACCCAUAGCAAGCCUCGGUGAUAGAAGCAAGCCACCGGCUCAAGGCAAGGGACAACGAGGGCGAACCGAGACGGAUUACGCCGCAACAUUGAAGGCGACUCGCAGGCGCAGACGACUCAGCAAGGGCAGGGGUACUCGGGAAGAGUCCCAACGCGGACGGGUGCGGAAGAGGCUGGCGAGGUCCGAUGGCAACCUGGACAGGAGGCAACUUCACCAGGAGGUAGGGCGACAGCGGCGACUUCAGGUCGGUUGGCGCGGUGGCUUGCAGUAG
This 342-nucleotide ribosomal RNA is filed under the name Triticum aestivum (bread wheat). RNAcentral's name for it is "partial small subunit ribosomal RNA". Lineage: Eukaryota; Viridiplantae; Streptophyta; Magnoliopsida; Poales; Poaceae. The record is from RNAcentral.